GUGGGGAAUCUUGCGCAAUGGGCGAAAGCCUGACGCAGCCAUGCCGCGUGAAUGAUGAAGGUCUUAGGAUUGUAAAAUUCUUUCACCGGGGACGAUAAUGACGGUACCCGGAGAAGAAGCCCCGGCUAACUUCGUGCCAGCAGCCGCGGUAAUACGAAGGGGGCUAGCGUUGCUCGGAAUUACUGGGCGGAAAGGGCGCGUAGGCGGACAGUUUAGUCAGAGGUGAAAGCCCAGGGCUCAACCUUGGAAUUGCCUUUGAUACUGGCUGUCUUGAGUACGGGAGAGGUGAGUGGAACUCCGAGUGUAGAGGUGAAAUUCGUAGAUAUUCGGAAGAACACCAGUGGCGAAGGCGACUCACUGGCCCGUUACUGACGCUGAGGCGCGAAAGCGUGGGGAGCAAACAGGAUUAGAUACCCUUGUAGUCC
RNAcentral lists this ribosomal RNA (425 nucleotides) under uncultured bacterium. RNAcentral's name for it is "partial 16S ribosomal RNA". It matches the Rfam family "Bacterial small subunit ribosomal RNA", at positions 354 to 796 of the family's 1533-position model. The record is from RNAcentral.